CAGGGAGACAAACAACGAUUUUGAUGCCUGAGUACUUUUAUUCUUAGGCCGAAAUCCUGUCACCUUAGGUCGAUCGGUACCUCAACUUCAAUCCUGUGAGUCGCAAGACUGCACAACGAUUGAUUUUUAGUUCCUAAACGUUGUCUAGGUCACCCUAUAGAGGGUUCACUUCCUGGGCCAUUAGCUCAGGUGGUUAGAGCGCACCCCUGAUAAGGGUGAGGUCCCUGGUUCAAGUCCAGGAUGGCCCAUUCCAAAAUCCAGUUUUGGAUCAUUUGGGGGUUUAGCUCAGUUGGUAGAGCGCCUGCUUUGCAAGCAGGAUGUCAGCGGUUCGAGUCCGCUAACCUCCACUAACACAUCUGAACUCCUAAGCCAGGAAGAGCUUCUUGGUUGGUGACUAGACGUUGUUCGCAGAGAAUCCACUGGUUUUACCAGAUGUAUUCAGCCUCAGCUCAUCUCCAAUGACGGAUUGAGCUGAUGCUGAAUUCACUCUCGAAAGAGAGAGGAUUUAGCAGAACCUUGACAACUGCAUAGGUGAGUCUGGAAAGACAAAAGCAUCUCAUAGAGGCUAGCUCGAAAGAGCUAGUGAUUCUAUUUUUGAGAGCCGAGACCUUCUAGCGUUCUUCCCAAUCCGCCGAGGAGCGGGGAGUUUGAUCCUUUUUUCUAACUGAUCGAGGGCCAGAGCAAUCUGAUCUUUGAUUAAGAGAAAACUGAGAGAAUGGGCCUCAACAGCCUGAAGCGUUAGGAGGAUUAAUU
Molecule: transfer RNA, 753 nt
Filed under: uncultured cyanobacterium
Lineage: Bacteria; Bacillati; Cyanobacteriota
Description: partial contains 16S ribosomal RNA, 16S-23S ribosomal RNA intergenic spacer, and 23S ribosomal RNA
Rfam family: tRNA (bases 275-347)
Source: RNAcentral